CAGAUGUGAAAGACCCGGGGCGUCAACCUCGGAAUAGCAUUUGAAACUAGGCAGACUAGAGUACUGUAGAGGGGGGUAGGAAGUUUCAGGUGUAGCGGUGAAAUGCGUAGAGAUCUGAAGGAAUACCGGUGGCGAAGGCGGCCCCCUCGGACAGAUACUGACACUCAGAUGCGAAAGCGUGGGGAGCAAACAGGAUUAGAUACCCCUGGUAG
This 212-nucleotide ribosomal RNA is filed under the name uncultured bacterium. RNAcentral describes it as "partial 16S ribosomal RNA". It matches the Rfam family "Bacterial small subunit ribosomal RNA", at positions 589 to 793 of the family's 1533-position model. The record is from RNAcentral.